RNAcentral lists this ribosomal RNA (440 nucleotides) under uncultured bacterium. RNAcentral's name for it is "partial 16S ribosomal RNA". It matches the Rfam family "Bacterial small subunit ribosomal RNA", at positions 338 to 795 of the family's 1533-position model. The record is from RNAcentral.
CCUACGGGUGACAGCAGUGGGGAAUAUUGCACAAUGGUGGAAACCCUGAUGCAGCGACGCCGCGUGAGUGAAGAAGUAAUUCGGUAUGUAAAGCCCUAUCAGCAGGGAAGCAAAUGACGGUACCUGAGUCAGAAGCAGCGGCUAACUACGUGCAAGCUGCCGCAGUAAUACGUAGGGAGCAAGCGUUAUCCGGAUUUACUGGGUGUAAAGGGAGCGUAGACGGCAGUGCAAGUCUGGAGGGAAAGGCGGGGGCUCAACCCCCGGACUGCUCUGGAAACUGGACGGCUGGAGUGCAGGAGAGGUAAGUGGAAUGCCUGGUGUAGCGGUGAAAUGCGUAGAUAUUAGGAGGAACACCAGUGGCGAAGGCGGCUUACUGGACUGUAACUGACGUUGAGGCUCGAAAGCGUGGGGAGCAAACAGGAUUAGAUACCCCAGUAGUC